CUACUACUCCCUCCGUCCAAAAAUACUUGUCAUUGAAAUGGAUGUAUCUAGAUGUAUUUUAGUUCUAGACACAUCCAUUUUGAUGACAAGUAAUUCCGGACGGAGGGAGUAUUAU
Triticum aestivum (bread wheat) is the source of this 115-nucleotide non-coding RNA. The record is from Rfam. NCBI's taxonomy places the organism in Eukaryota, Viridiplantae, Streptophyta, Magnoliopsida, Poales, Poaceae.